GUAGGGACAACCAACAUAGCAAUAUGGCAAAGGAUGUUUUUAUGUAAAGUACUCCCCAAGCUUGAAUUUUGCAAAAUUCAAGUUUGGAUGAAUUUAAUUCAAUAUUGUGUGAUGGUUGGUUGGACAUACCUUGUGCUUGUCAUUCAUCCGAUCUUCUUGCUCCAAUCCUAGAAAGGUUAGUGACAAGAAUACCUGAAGGAAUAUUUCUACAAUUAUCUUUAUAUGCUCAAUACACAAGGCAAUGUUGCAAAUAAUUAGAAGUGCUUG
This 267-nucleotide long non-coding RNA is filed under the name Sorghum bicolor (sorghum). Its description in RNAcentral is "long non-coding RNA (SBIC_LNC008356)". The record is from RNAcentral. Lineage: Eukaryota; Viridiplantae; Streptophyta; Magnoliopsida; Poales; Poaceae.